CACGUAGUUGGCCGGUGCUUCUUCUACCCCUACCGUCACUUCCGCUUCGUCGGGGCCGAAAGAGGUUUACAACCCGAAGGCCGUCAUCCCCCACGCGGCGUCGCUGCGUCAGGCUUCCGCCCAUUGCGCAAUAUUCCCCACUGCUGCCUCCCGUAGGAGUCUGGGCCGUGUCUCAGUCCCAGUGUGGCCGGUCGCCCUCUCAGGCCGGCUACCCGUCGUCGCCUUGGUAGGCCAUCACCCCACCAACAAGCUGAUAGGCCGCGGGCCCAUCCCCCACCGCCAGAAACAAAUGUAACUGGCUUUCUACCACCUGUCAUGCAACAAGAGGUCAUAUCCGGUAUUAGACCCAGUUUCCCAGGCUUAUCCCAGAGUAGGGGCAGGUCACCCACGUGUUACUCACCCGUUCGCCGCUCGUGUACCCCGAAGGGCCUUACCGCUCGACUUGCAUGUGUUAAGCACGCCGCCAGCGUUCGUCCUGAGCCAGGAUCAAACUCU
This 495-nucleotide ribosomal RNA is filed under the name uncultured Pseudonocardiaceae bacterium. Its description in RNAcentral is "partial 16S ribosomal RNA". Lineage: Bacteria; Bacillati; Actinomycetota; Actinomycetes; Pseudonocardiales; Pseudonocardiaceae. The record is from RNAcentral.